GACGAACGCUGGCGGCGUGCUUAACACAUGCAAGCCGAACGGAAAGGCCCUGCUUUUGUGGGGUGCUCGAGUGGCGAACGGGUGAGUAACACGUGAGUAACCUGCCCUUGACUUUGGGAUAACUUCAGAAAACUGGGGCUAAUACCGGAUAGGAGCUCCUGCUGCAUGGUGGGGGUUGGAAAGUUUCGGCGGUUGGGGAUGGACUCGCGGCUUAUCAGCUUGUUGGUGGGGUAGUGGCUUACCAAGGCUUUGACGGGUAGCCGGCCUGAGAGGGUGACCGGCCACAUUGGGACUGAGAUACGGCCCAGACUCCUACGGGAGGCAGCAGUGGGGAAUAUUGCACAAUGGGCGGAAGCCUGAUGCAGCAACGCCGCGUGCGGGAUGACGGCCUUCGGGUUGUAAACCGCUUUCGCCUGUGACGAAGCGUGAGUGACGGUAAUGGGUAAAGAAGCACCGGCUAACUACGUG
RNAcentral lists this ribosomal RNA (468 nucleotides) under uncultured bacterium. RNAcentral describes it as "partial 16S ribosomal RNA". It matches the Rfam family "Bacterial small subunit ribosomal RNA", at positions 28 to 507 of the family's 1533-position model. The record is from RNAcentral.